GACGAACGCUGGCGGCGUGCCUAAUACAUGCAAGUAGAACGCUGAAGGAGGAGCUUGCUCUUCUGGAUGAGUUGCGAACGGGUGAGUAACGCGUAGGUAACCUGCCUGGUAGCGGGGGAUAACUAUUGGAAACGAUAGCUAAUACCGCAUAAGAGUAGAUGUUGCAUGACAUUUGCUUAAAAGGUGCAAUUGCAUCACUACCAGAUGGACCUGCGUUGUAUUAGCUAGUUGGUGGGGUAACGGCUCACCAAGGCGACGAUACAUAGCCGACCUGAGAGGGUGAUCGGCCACACUGGGACUGAGACACGGCCCAGACUCCUACGGGAGGCAGCAGUAGGGAAUCUUCGGCAAUGGACGGAAGUCUGACCGAGCAACGCCGCGUGAGUGAAGAAGGUUUUCGGAUCGUAAAGCUCUGUUGUAAGAGAAGAACGAGUGUGAGAGUGGAAAGUUCACACUGUGACGGUAUCUUGCCAGAAAGAGACGGCUAACUACGUG
RNAcentral lists this ribosomal RNA (495 nucleotides) under uncultured bacterium. RNAcentral's name for it is "partial 16S ribosomal RNA". It matches the Rfam family "Bacterial small subunit ribosomal RNA", at positions 28 to 507 of the family's 1533-position model. The record is from RNAcentral.